GCGGAGAAACCACCAGAGUUGCAAAACUCCCACAAACCAUCGCGAAUCUUACCCGUACGGUUGCCUCGGCGCUGGCGGUCCGGAAGGCCCUCGGGCCCCCCGGAUCCUCGGGUCUCCCGCUCGCGGGAGGCUGCCCGCCGGAGUGCCGAAACCAAACUCUUGAUAUUUUAUGUCUCUCUGAGUAAACUUUUAAAUAAGUCAAAACUUUCAACAACGGAUCUCUUGGUUCUGGCAUCGAUGAAGAACGCAGCGAAAUGCGAUAAGUAAUGUGAAUUGCAGAAUUCAGUGAAUCAUCGAAUCUUUGAACGCACAUUGCGCUCGCCAGUAUUCUGGCGAGCAUGCCUGUUCGAGCGUCAUUUCAACCAUCAAGCUCUGCUUGCGUUGGGGAUCCGCGGCUGCCCGCGGUCCCUCAAAAACAGUGGCGGGCUCGCUAGUCACACCGAGCGUAGUAACUCUACAUCGCUAUGGUCGUGCGGCGGGUUCUUGCCGUAAAACCCCCCAAUUUCUAAGGUUGACCUCGGAUCAGGUAGGAAUACCCGCUGAACUUAAGCAUAUCAAUAGCCGGAGGA
Molecule: ribosomal RNA, 569 nt
Filed under: Neurospora pannonica
Lineage: Eukaryota; Fungi; Ascomycota; Sordariomycetes; Sordariales; Sordariaceae
Description: eukaryotic LSU rRNA
Rfam family: 5.8S ribosomal RNA (bases 203-356)
Source: RNAcentral